RNAcentral lists this ribosomal RNA (754 nucleotides) under Enterobacter cloacae. Its description in RNAcentral is "bacterial LSU rRNA". It matches the Rfam family "Bacterial large subunit ribosomal RNA", at positions 2195 to 2925 of the family's 2925-position model. Lineage: Bacteria; Pseudomonadati; Pseudomonadota; Gammaproteobacteria; Enterobacterales; Enterobacteriaceae. The record is from RNAcentral.
AAAUACCACCCUUUAAUGGCUGGUGUUCUAACGUAGACCCGUAAUCCGGGUUGCGGACAGUGUCUGGUGGGUAGUUUGACUGGGGCGGUCUCCUCCCAAAGAGUAACGGAGGAGCACGAAGGUUGGCUAAUCCUGGUCGGACAUCAGGAGGUUAGUGCAAUGGCAUAAGCCAGCUUGACUGCGAGCGUGACGGCGCGAGCAGGUGCGAAAGCAGGUCAUAGUGAUCCGGUGGUUCUGAAUGGAAGGGCCAUCGCUCAACGGAUAAAAGGUACUCCGGGGAUAACAGGCUGAUACCGCCCAAGAGUUCAUAUCGACGGCGGUGUUUGGCACCUCGAUGUCGGCUCAUCACAUCCUGGGGCUGAAGUAGGUCCCAAGGGUAUGGCUGUUCGCCAUUUAAAGUGGUACGCGAGCUGGGUUUAGAACGUCGUGAGACAGUUCGGUCCCUAUCUGCCGUGGGCGCUGGAGAAUUGAGGGGGGCUGCUCCUAGUACGAGAGGACCGGAGUGGACGCAUCACUGGUGUUCGGGUUGUCAUGCCAAUGGCACUGCCCGGUAGCUAAAUGCGGAAGAGAUAAGUGCUGAAAGCAUCUAAGCACGAAACUUGCCCCGAGAUGAGUUCUCCCUGAGACUUUAAGUCUCCUGAAGGAACGUUGAAGACGACGACGUUGAUAGGUCGGGUGUGUAAGCGCAGCGAUGCGUUGAGCUAACCGAUACUAAUGAACCGUGAGGCUUAACCUUACAACGCCGAAGGUGUUU